AAACCCUCAGCUAUAAUUUUAUUAUUACGGCUGGUUAUGGGUUGUGGAGGACUAGCCUUUACGGCUGCUCCCGCCUUAAACUUGCUGCACGACCGCAAGCUUAUGCUAGGUUAAUGAAGUGGUGUUUACAUAUAUUUCAGCGACCGUUCAUAGCUUGGUGGCGUUAAACUUGAUGUUGCCUCCUGGCGACUGAU
Molecule: unclassified non-coding RNA, 194 nt
Filed under: uncultured Orbiliales
Lineage: Eukaryota; Fungi; Ascomycota; Orbiliomycetes; Orbiliales
Description: sequence contains ITS2
Source: RNAcentral